This 180-nucleotide ribosomal RNA is filed under the name Triticum aestivum (bread wheat). RNAcentral's name for it is "partial small subunit ribosomal RNA". Lineage: Eukaryota; Viridiplantae; Streptophyta; Magnoliopsida; Poales; Poaceae. The record is from RNAcentral.
AAAGCAUUGGCGUCCCUCUUGAUACUCACGUCAUGGGAAAUCUGAAACGAGAGGAAGGCAUGGGUGCUCCAGAAUGUGUACGCUUCGCCGAUGGCUAUCCUCGCCAAAAUCCGCCGAGAGGCUGCUCGCUGGGCCAUCGCCAGUGCGAAACAUUUCAACGCACGCAUGUCGCGAGAGUAG